AUCUCGCAAGUGUAAUGGUUGCACGGUGGUCUCCAAAGCCAUAAAGACAGGGUUCGAUUCCUUGGCGGGGUGC
RNAcentral lists this transfer RNA (73 nucleotides) under Rhodococcus phage Trina. Its description in RNAcentral is "tRNA-Trp". It matches the Rfam family "tRNA". From Rfam's summary of the family: Transfer RNA (tRNA) molecules are approximately 80 nucleotides in length. Their secondary structure includes four short double-helical elements and three loops (D, anti-codon, and T loops). Further hydrogen bonds mediate the characteristic L-shaped molecular structure. tRNAs have two regions of fundamental functional importance: the anti-codon, which is responsible for specific mRNA codon recognition, and the 3' end, to which the tRNAs corresponding amino acid is attached (by aminoacyl-tRNA synthetases). tRNAs cope with the degeneracy of the genetic code in two manners: having more than one tRNA (with a specific anti-codon) for a particular amino acid; and 'wobble' base-pairing, i.e. permitting non-standard base-pairing at the 3rd anti-codon position. Lineage: Duplodnaviria; Heunggongvirae; Uroviricota; Caudoviricetes. The record is from RNAcentral.